RNAcentral lists this unclassified non-coding RNA (268 nucleotides) under Hevea brasiliensis (rubber tree). Lineage: Eukaryota; Viridiplantae; Streptophyta; Magnoliopsida; Malpighiales; Euphorbiaceae. The record is from RNAcentral.
AUGGACAAGGCCUGGUGCCUAGCUCUAAAGUUUAUACUGCUGUAAUUGAAGCUUAUGGGCAGGCGGCGCUGUAUGAGGAAGCAGUUGUCGCCUUUAAUACGAUGAAUGAGGUAGGAAGCAGGCCAGUGGUGGAGACUUUCAAUUCUCUGAUCCAUACAUUUGCUAAAGGGGGACUUUACAAAGAAUCUGAAGCAAUAUGGUUUAGAAUGGGUGAGGUUGGAGUUCCCCGGAAUAGGGACUCUUUUAAUGGUAUGAUUGAAGGUUAUAG